Regulatory RNA element from Novibacillus thermophilus, 92 nucleotides. It matches the Rfam family "pan motif". The record is from Rfam. Lineage: Bacteria; Bacillati; Bacillota; Bacilli; Caryophanales; Thermoactinomycetaceae.
GCGGCUGUAUCCGGAAGGAACGGCACGAUUUCCUCUUUUCAAGAACACUUGAUCCGCUCUCUGCUCUUAUCCUUGCGGAAAGAGACAGAAAA